This 202-nucleotide ribosomal RNA is filed under the name uncultured bacterium. Its description in RNAcentral is "partial 16S ribosomal RNA". It matches the Rfam family "Bacterial small subunit ribosomal RNA", at positions 28 to 212 of the family's 1533-position model. The record is from RNAcentral.
GACGAACGCUGGCGGCGUGCUUAACACAUGCAAGUCGAGCGGUAAGGCCCUUUCGGGGGUACGACGAGCGGCGAACGGGUAGGAGUAACAACGUGGGUGGACCUCGCCCUCCAGCUCUGGGAGUAAGACCUCGGGAAACCGGGGUACCGUAAUAACUGGAGUAUGACUCCAUGACGCAUGUUGUGGGGUGGGAAAGACCUUG